AGAGAUAGAAAGUUACUUCGGUUACAUCGGUGAGAGGUGGUGCAUGGCCGUCGUCAGUUCGUACUGUGAAGCAUCCUGUAAGUCAGGCAACGAGCAAGACCCACGCCCACAGUUGCCAGCGUACUCUCUGGAGUGACGGGUACACUGUGGGACCGCCGCUGCUAAAGCGGAGGAAGGAAUGGGCAACGGUAGGUCAGUAUGCCCCGAAUAUCCCGGGCUACACGCGAGCUACAAUGGUUGGUACAAUGGGUAUCUACCCCGAAAGGGGACGGGAAUCUCCUAAAACCAAUCUUAGUUCGGAUUGAGGGCUGCAACUCGCCCUCAUGAAGCUGGAAUCCGUAGUAAUCGCGUUUCAACAGAACGCGGUGAAUACGUCCCUGCUCCUU
This 386-nucleotide ribosomal RNA is filed under the name uncultured Methanosaeta sp. RNAcentral describes it as "bacterial SSU rRNA". It matches the Rfam family "Archaeal small subunit ribosomal RNA", at positions 954 to 1338 of the family's 1478-position model. The record is from RNAcentral. Lineage: Archaea; Methanobacteriati; Methanobacteriota; Methanomicrobia; Methanotrichales; Methanotrichaceae.